RNAcentral lists this ribosomal RNA (253 nucleotides) under uncultured bacterium. RNAcentral describes it as "partial 16S ribosomal RNA". It matches the Rfam family "Bacterial small subunit ribosomal RNA", at positions 524 to 776 of the family's 1533-position model. The record is from RNAcentral.
UACGUAGGGUGCAAGCGUUGUCCGGAAUUAUUGGGCGUAAAGAGCUCGUAGGCGGUUUGUCGCGUCUGCUGUGAAAACUCGGGGCUCAACUCCGAGCUUGCAGUGGGUACGGGCAGACUAGAGUGCGGUAGGGGAGACUGGAAUUCCUGGUGUAGCGGUGAAAUGCGCAGAUAUCAGGAGGAACACCGAUGGCGAAGGCAGGUCUCUGGGCCACUACUGACGCUGAGAAGCGAAAGCAUGGGGAGCGAACAGG